This 273-nucleotide long non-coding RNA is filed under the name Homo sapiens (human). RNAcentral's name for it is "HSALNT0261177". Lineage: Eukaryota; Metazoa; Chordata; Mammalia; Primates; Hominidae. The record is from RNAcentral.
GUAUGGGCUCUCUGUGGGCCACGACUGGUUUCUGGAUCCCCCAGGAACACUAGGGAACUCACAGCCUGGUUCCUCAAGGUGCUAAGGGCCAGAGGGUGCCACCCCCUGAACUAUCCAGCAACUAUCCAGAGAGAAAGGGGACAUGGGGGACUGGCCCUUAACAGGAUGCUGCUGAGGGCCAGGCAGGCGGCUGCCACCUGAGUGGGUGCAAAAUGGCGCCAGGCUCCUUGGGAGGGCGGAGGGCGAGGCCUGUCAUCUGGGCCAGGGGAGGCA